UUCUGCAAUUAAGGCUCAAAGAUAAUGGUAAUGGUGAUUUAUAACAAGGGUAUUUUUACAAGUUACUGUAUCUUUCCUAAUAACUUGGUCUCUUUUCUUCACUUCAAUCUUGUAUUGAGCUCCACUACUCUCAUCCAUCUCUUUAUAAAGCACGAUGGUAUCGCUGGGCUUCAAAUCUUUACUGCGAACAAACUUAAACCAGUUCCCAAAAACAACUGGUUUCGAAAAGCCGAUGGCCGGAAUCCUGCAACGGAAUGACCAGACAUUUCCAGAAUCAUCUUUAACAUGUAAAAUGAUUUCAUGGCCCUUUUGUGCUGGUGGGAAAGCUUUUAUAGUAUUUUCUGGCAUAGAUAGUCUUCUCAAAAUAUCACUACUCGUAAGUAUUUUUGAGAAGAUAGCCAUGGCUUGGUGGAGUAGUUGGAGAAAUUUCUCUGCGCUUGAAGCAUUUAUACUGAGCUAGGCAGUGGACCAUCUCUUGCUUUUUCUUUCUGUAGCUGAAUAGAUUUUUCUUUUGUUUUCUUUUGGGUAAUAAAGAAAGAAAGAGAGUGAUAGAUAAGUGGUGGAUUUUCAGAGGUCCACAUGCUAUCUUUUUGUCCUUAUCAUUUGUGUUCUUUUUUGAAAAUUGCAAAAAUUUUGUUUCUUUAUCAAAGCUUUUCUAGGUAUAUUCUUGCAACAAAACUGGAUGCAUUGCUUUUCUUUGAUAGAAGCUUGGAAAUGAUCGAAAACUUGGGCUUUUUGUGAAUUUAGGUAGGAGACUUUUUAUUUGCGGAUUUGAGGUUAGAAUAAAAAUAUUUGUAAAUUUAGAAUUGGAGUGAUAGGUGGCCGUCGAAAAAUUUAUUUGGCGUUUAUACGCCAGACGCCAGAAUCUCACGCCACUUUAAGCGGCACCAGACUAUUAUUAUUAUUAUUAUUUUUUUUUUAAAAUGGCCUGACGCCACUCACAAUGGUCCAGGUUAUUAUUUAUUUUUUUAAAAAAAAAUAUAUAUUAAUUAAUAAAAUUAUAAUAUUUUAAUAAUUAAAAAAAUUUUAAAAAAAAAUCAAGGGUCAAUCCAUUUUUAAAAAAAAAAUAAAAAAAAUAAUGGCAUGUCAGGUCAUUUAACAAAAAAAAAGGCCUGGCGCCACUCAAACAAAUUUUUCGGCCGCUACCUGUCGCCCAACCCUAAAUCCGUAAAUAUUUCUAUUAUAAUUCUAAAUCCGUAAAUAAAAAGAAUUUCACCCCUAAAUUGAUAAAAAUCCUAAAACUUAAAAGCAUGCUGACCCUACCAAACCAAUAAGCAUGUGAGGAUCAAACGUUAGUCUUCAAACGAGCAAUAAUUACGAUUUUUCUUUUUAUCUAACUUUAACUCAAAUUUAUUUUUUUUAUACAUUUCUUUCUAUUUUAGCUAUAAUUAAAUAAUGAAAAAAAAUUUCAAAGCUUGACAAAGAAAUUUUAUAUGACUUAUCAUCUGUUGUAUGUGAGAUUAGGAUGUUAGGCCAAACAAGAAAGCAACGUAGAAAAAGAUCAUCAACUGCAAGGUCCAUCACUAUCUUUGUUUUAUUAUUAUUUUAUAAAUUCAAAUGCAAACGAUUCUUUGUUUUUCUUUGAUAAAUAGUCUGAUCCUUAAAUAUAUAGUUGGAAAUCUUCAAUAAUAAUAAAUUUUAUUUUAUAAUAAUAAUUAUAAAUAUUUUAUAAUAGAUAUAUUAUUUAAUUUAAAAUAAUAAUAAAAAUCAAUUUAAAAUUGUUGACUGUAUAUUUAAUCAUUAAAUUGUUAUUAUUUUUAAAAUUAAAUGUAUAAAUUAAUUAUAAUUAAAUAUGAAUUAAUAUUAUUUUUUAUAUAUAGAAUUAAUUUAUAUUUGCUCAGAAGUUCUGUUUUGAUCUGUUGUCUGUCUUACUAUCAAACAAGAAAAGGGACACUAGAUUUUAAAAAUUGCUAAGAUUUUAUCCACUAUUUUGUUUUGAAAAGUCCAAAUCAGUUUUUCAACUUUUGAUUAUAGUUCAAGAAAAUCCAAUUUAAUUUUUUUAAUUAAAUAAAUUCCUAAACUUUAUUUUUAGUGCCAAAUAAUAUAAAAGUAGAUGACAAUGGUAUAUGAAUAUUAAAUUAAGAAUUGUUAGUACAGACUGUUGAAUUAAUACGCAAGUAGUCGGCCAUUGCAAAGAUCGUUGACAUUUUCACUUCACAAUCAGUACGGACAAAUUAGUCCUUUUCAUUUUCUUCUAAAGACCCAAAAAGAAAGGGACGAGGUUCAAUGUCUGGAUUUGCUUGCUUCUAGAUAUUAAGAUUCCCAUGUGAAAUGAUCUCUGUCAGAUCAGUUGCAAAAACAUAGAUAUUGCUAAAGAUAAAUGAAGGAGAAUGAAAUAUUAAUUUAUUCUAACAUCUUCACUAUAGAAGAAGCCAUACAAAUUACAGAAAAUAAGCAAUCCAAGAAGACAAUCAAGGGCAAAGCUCUGCUACAGCUUAUACCUUAUUCUUCAUAUAACAGUAAAAACAACAAUAACUAUAAUUAUUUAGUACCAGAUUUUCAAACAUGAACUUUUAGAAUCACUUACUACUACCUAGAAUAUGUUGAAGCUCGAACACGAUUCCUCAAAUCCUGACCAAACAGCAAGCAUUGAUUUCUUUUAGCCUGGAUUUUGAAUGUAAUUCUGCCAGUUUCAUCUUCUUCCUUGUAGAAAAUAACUUCAUCACCUUCUACUAGAUGUUUCUCUUUUACGUAGCAUGUCCAACCCUUGCGGAACUCAGGUUUAGGGUGGCCUUUGAUGCGCUUACAACAAGUGAAUUUCUUGACAGAAUUAUCAUCCACGUCAAUAAAAUCAAACUCUUUAGAAAAUUCACCUUCUGGUAUGGAGAAGACACCCAGCUGAUAAGUCUCCAUUGGAACUGCCAUUCGAUGUUUGAAAUCAGUAUCCGUCAGCUUCUUUGUAAAGAGAACUUCAAGAGUGGACAUGGCUAAUUAAGCAAAUAUGGAGACUCUUGAUUGUUGGGAAGAUUGGGAUCCAAAUGCUGUUCUUUUUAUAGGAGAAGUUAAAGGAUUUGAUUGGUCCACGUUCAUCCUCAUCACAUAAAGGUAAUGAUAUGAUUUGAUGCAUGUGACAUUUUGCUGAGUUCCAAAACCACUGGAAUGUAUGUUGCACAACUCGUGGGCUAUAAAAUAAAUGGUAUAUGCAAGUGGGGCCAUUGCAAGAUUGUUGAGAACUCGGGAGUGUCUUGCUUCUGGUAGACUAAGAAAAGGUAUUAAGAUUCCAUAUGACCUUUUUCAAAGUUAUAAAAUGUCGGCUACAAUAUGCUAAGUAGAUAAAGUGAAUUAAAAUUAAAUUAACCAUAUAUGGAAACAUUUUAAGAAAAAUUAUUUUAUCUUUUACCUUUAAAAGGUGAUGAGAGGAGUUCUUUUUCUCAUAAUCAGCAAUUUUAAAUUUAAAUUUUAAGUAUAAAAUAUUUUCAAAGUUUAGGAGAAAAUAUUUUGCUUUUUUUUAAAGAAUUUGACUAAAUGAGAUAAUUUGUGAUUUAACGGAUUAAAUGACUAGAAGGACAAUUAAAUGACUAGACGAAAUAAAUUGAUGGACGAUUAGAUGAAUAAAUGAGAUGAUUUGACAGGCAAUAAUUUGGUGAUCGAUUUAAUAUUCUAAUGAUUGAUCUAAUGAAUAAUCUAAUAUAACCAUAUAAUGACCAGACGAUUUAUCGACCUGAUAACCUGAUAUUACUGGAUGACCAAAUUAAUAAUAAAAUUAUCGAAUAAUUGAGUGAUGACACAGUGAACUAAUAUUUAAAGUUAUAUUAUUUUGUACAAGGGUUUUAUGUAUUUGUAUUAAUUUAACUUAAAUUUUUUUUAAAAAAUUACAUUAUUAUUUUUUUUGAAUUCUUAUAAACUGUGCAUGAUACGUAAUUUAAUUUUAUGGACAAGCAUAAAUAGUCUGUUUGUAUAAAACUAAAAUAGAUUAAAAAAUAAGUAUAAAUAACUUACUUGUAUAGGACUAAAAUAAAUUGAUAUAUUAAAAAAUAUUAUUCGUUUCUUUCUACUGUAUGAUAUAAAUUUAAAAUUAUAGGAAUAAAUUAAUUAUUAUAUUUUUAGAAUUUAAGAAAUAUUUUAUAUACUUAUUAAAAUUUAAAAUUAACAGAUUAAUCAACAAAAUUUUCAAUACCAACGAAAUAAAUAGAAAAUUUUCCAAUUAUUUAACAUAAUCUGGUAAUUGAGAUGAAAAGGCAAAAAUGCUUUGGGACUCUCUUGCCGGUCAUCAAUGGACCAACGUGUGCUUCAACCAGCGAUAAAUAAAAAAUAAAAAUAAAAAAAAAAAAACUUAGGGGUUUUACAAUCCUGACCCUAUGGUCCUAUUUAAUCAAAACCAGUUGAGCCACAUUUGUCACCACCUGAAUGUGAGCUCUGAAAAUGGUGAGCCAUUUUUAUGUGCAUUUUGGCUGCCUCCGGAUGCCUGUGAACUAAUAAACCAUAAUAGCUUAUUCUAAAUUUAUUUGUUUCUAAAUUUUAUAAAUAUUUUAAUUUAUUUUUUUAAAAUUAAAAAAUCAACAAAUGAAUAUGAACUAAAUAAUAAAUUUCUUUUUAUUAAUAGAGAGACAGGGAACAGAGUAGGUUGCAAGAGAAACAGAGCCGAGCAGAGUACUGGGAAUAUUUCGAUAAUCACUAGCUUUUCUCUCGGUAAUGAAUCUGCUUAAUUUCGAGAAUGGCUCAGCCAGCUACUUGUGUAAUCAACUCACCGAUUGGAGCUUCUAACAAUUAGAUAGCAGGAAACAGAGCAGGGGACUUGAGCAUUUGCAUUAUCGUUAGAUUUUCCUCUUAGCAGUCAAUUAAUCUAGUUUCCAGCAUGUUUUGGCUAGCUAAUUCUGCAAUUAAGGCUCAAAGAUAAUGGUAAUGGUGAUUUAUCACAAGGGUAUUUUUACAAGUUACAGUAUCUUUCCUAAUAACUUAGUCCCUUUUCUUCACUUCAAUCUUGUAUUGAGCUCCACUACUCUUAUCCAUCUCUUUAUACAACACGAUGGUAUCGCCGGGCUUCAAAUCUUUACUGCGAACGAACUUAAACCAGUUCCCAAAAACAACUGGUUUCGAAAAGCCGAUGGCCGGAAUCCUGCAACGGAAUGACCACAAAAUGCCAGCAUCAUCUUUAACAGGUAAAAUGAUUUCAUGGCCCUUUUGGGCUGGUGGGAAGGCUUUUAAAGUAUUUUCUGGCAUAGAUAGUCUUCUCAAAAUAUCACUACUUGUAAGUACUUUUGAGAAGAUUGCCAUGGCUAGG
Molecule: long non-coding RNA, 5221 nt
Filed under: Manihot esculenta (cassava)
Lineage: Eukaryota; Viridiplantae; Streptophyta; Magnoliopsida; Malpighiales; Euphorbiaceae
Description: long non-coding RNA (MESC_LNC006229)
Source: RNAcentral